CAACUGCACCGGGCAACCGCAGGCGCGAGCGCCGAAAGGCGGCGUCUGAGGAAAGUCCGAACUCCACAGGGCAGGGCGCUGGAUAACGUCCAGUGGGGGUGACCCCAAGGAAAGUGCCGCAGAAAAGAAAACGCCGAAUGCGGUCCUCCUGGACUGUGCAUGGCAAAGCUGAAACGGUGCGGUAAGAGCGCACCGGCGGCUGAGCAAUCAGCCGGCCUGGUAAACCCCGCCUGGAGCAAGACCGAAUAGGAGGGGAGAAAGUGGCCCGCUUUUCCCUCGGGUUAGGUCGCAGGAGGCGGCAGGCGACUGCCGUCCCAGAUAAAUGGUUGCCGCCGGUCGCAUGCGCGACCGGAACAGAAUUCGGCUUACAGGCGCAGUUGGUUU
RNAcentral lists this RNase P RNA (384 nucleotides) under Clostridia bacterium. RNAcentral's name for it is "RNase P RNA component class A". It matches the Rfam family "Bacterial RNase P class A". From Rfam's summary of the family: Ribonuclease P (RNase P) is a ubiquitous endoribonuclease, found in archaea, bacteria and eukarya as well as chloroplasts and mitochondria. Its best characterised activity is the generation of mature 5'-ends of tRNAs by cleaving the 5'-leader elements of precursor-tRNAs. The record is from RNAcentral. Lineage: Bacteria; Bacillati; Bacillota; Clostridia.